UAGGGAAUUUUCGACAAUGGGGGGAACCCUGAACGAGCAAUGCCGCGUGAGUGAAGACGGUCUUCGGAUUGUAAAGCUCUGUUGCGAGAGAAAAAGGACAGGCAGAGGGAAUGCUGCAUGUUUGAUGGUAUCUCGCCAGAAAGUCACGGCUAACUACGUGCCAGCAGCCGCGGUAAUACGUAGGUGGCGAGCGUUAUCCGGAAUGAUUGGGCGUAAAGGGUACGUAGGCGGCCAGAUAAGUCUGGUGUGAAAGGCUGCAGCUCAACUGCAGCACUGCACUGGAAACUGUCCGGCUGGAGUGCAGAAGAGGGCGAUGGAACCCCAUGUGUAGCGGUAAAAUGCGUAGAUAUAUGGAAGAACACCGGUGGCGAAGGCGGUCGCCUGGUCUGCAACUGACGCUGAAGUACGAAAGCGUGGGGAGCAAAUAG
Molecule: ribosomal RNA, 428 nt
Filed under: uncultured bacterium
Lineage: Bacteria
Description: bacterial SSU rRNA
Rfam family: Bacterial small subunit ribosomal RNA
Source: RNAcentral